This 99-nucleotide small nuclear RNA is filed under the name Nicotiana attenuata. The record is from RNAcentral. Lineage: Eukaryota; Viridiplantae; Streptophyta; Magnoliopsida; Solanales; Solanaceae.
GUCGCUCCUUGGACAUCCGAUAAAAUUGGAACGAUACAAAGAAGACUAGUAUAUGGGCCCUUGCGCAAGGAUACAACAACAACAACAAACCAGUGUAUU